UGUGUUGACCAAAAAGUUUGUUUGGGUUUUUCCGAAUGAUCUUAUGGAACACUCAAAUGAACUUUUUGGCCAAAC
RNAcentral lists this microRNA precursor (75 nucleotides) under Ovis aries (sheep). Its description in RNAcentral is "miRNA (ENSOARG00000022092.1)". The record is from RNAcentral. Lineage: Eukaryota; Metazoa; Chordata; Mammalia; Artiodactyla; Bovidae.